UUUCCGUAGGUGAACCUGCGGAAGGAUCAUUCAUAAUAAAGUGUUUUAUGGCACUUUUUAAAAAUCCAUAUCCACCUUGUGUGCAAUGUUAGAUCUCGUCAAUCUAGGCGAGAUUUUUAUACAUCAACUCAUUCUUUAACUAAUUUGUCUGAAAAAUAUUACGAAUACUUAAUUCAAAAUACAACUUUCAACAACGGAUCUCUUGGCUCUC
RNAcentral lists this unclassified non-coding RNA (211 nucleotides) under plant metagenome. RNAcentral describes it as "partial contains small subunit ribosomal RNA, internal transcribed spacer 1, and 5.8S ribosomal RNA". The record is from RNAcentral.